RNAcentral lists this microRNA precursor (103 nucleotides) under Marmota monax (woodchuck). Lineage: Eukaryota; Metazoa; Chordata; Mammalia; Rodentia; Sciuridae. The record is from RNAcentral.
AGUGGGAUAGCUGGGUCAUAUGGAAGUUCCAUCCCUAAUUUUUUGAGGAAUCUCCAAACUGCUUUCCAGAGUGGUUGUACUGGUCUGCAGUCCCACCAACAGU